This is a long non-coding RNA of Pyrus x bretschneideri (Chinese white pear), 637 nucleotides long. RefSeq lists it as uncharacterized. NCBI's taxonomy places the organism in Eukaryota, Viridiplantae, Streptophyta, Magnoliopsida, Rosales, Rosaceae. The record is from RefSeq and is a predicted model, not a curated record. The transcript is spliced from 3 exons.
GAAAGAUGUUGUUUGGACAUUUUAAAUAAAUAUUCGUUUAUGUUUAUAAAGAAAAAGAGCUCUCAUUCUGGUCAUCACCAUUAAGCAUCUGUUGUGAAACAUGGUUCCGACUGCCCACUCUUCUGGUUCUGCAGGUCUUUUUCUCUCUAGUCAGUAUUAUUUUAUUUUCUGAUAAACUGGAAUUUCAAGUUGCAUCCUCCACCAUGGUUCUGCAUGUGAAUAUGCAAUUUUUAGAGACAACUUGUUCUUGCUGCUGUGACAUAUUUUCUUAAAUCGCUGUUCAGGGAGGUUGAAGAUUUUGCUCGGAGGUUAAAUUCAGACUGACCUGAAAGGAUGCAAGAGAUCUUAUCUUUCAGUUAGGAAAGGAGGCCUGUACCAUUUUCCAUUAAUGGAAACGGUUAUUUGAGAAGAUAUGCUUGCUCCUCCUCAAACCGAAAGCCGAAAGGGUUAGCAUGAAGUACCAAACAAGACGAUGAACGAGCUACAAAAAUUCAGAAAACUUACAGUUUAUUCAUCGAGCAUUCUUCGUUGCCUGAACAAUGUCACCCUGACAUAAAGCCAAUCAUUUAAAUCAUUCAAGAGCUUGAAGUACGUGUAUCUCCAUGACCGGUUGAAUAUCAAACUCCCACAAACUCCC